CAAAAGGCUUUCAUGACCUCAUAUAAUAAAAUGUGUUCAAAGAGCAUCUGUUUUGCCAUACUCUGAUGCUCGAAUUAAACGACACAACCCAAUUCGGCCGUCGUCGCAAAGCAUGGAGUACACUUACUAUUCAAAUAUGCUCGAACCAUAACAUAAGAAUGCUGCACAGCUUCGACAAAAGGCUAAGACGGAUGACCUCUCGCAUCCGUAAUCUUCUUCGGCAGCGGUAAAUGCACCCCCGCGACACUCGGCUGCUCGCUCGCAUUCGGCAGCAACCUGCCUUUAUCAUCCGUCGGUGGCGGUGGGAUGUGCAUGAGAAGAUGACGGCGGCUUUCACUCCUUCCCAUCAGUUCACGUGGAUUCUGAAACAAUCCAACAAACACUUGAUGAGCCAUACGGGAAAGAAAGAAAAAAGAGAGAGAGAGAGAGAAAGAGAAAGCAAGAAAGAAGAUGCGGCGACCUCGCCACGAUUCCAAUCGGCCGCUGCAUUUAAUGAGCUACCGACUCUUCCACAUGCUUUUGGUCUGUUCAUCGAUCGCCGUCGACGUGCAGCUGAAGACGUGGCG
Molecule: long non-coding RNA, 566 nt
Filed under: Musa acuminata (dwarf banana)
Lineage: Eukaryota; Viridiplantae; Streptophyta; Magnoliopsida; Zingiberales; Musaceae
Description: long non-coding RNA (MACU_LNC002410)
Source: RNAcentral